UGCGCAGGCGGGCUAUUAAGUCAGUGGUGAAAUCUCUCGGCUCAACCGAGAAACUGCUAUUGAAACUGAUAGUCUUGAGUAUGGUUGUGGUAGGCGGAAUAUAGCAUGUAGCGGUGAAAUGCUUAGAUAUGCUAUAGAACACCGAUCGCGAAGGCAGCUUACCAAGCCAUUACUGACGCUCAUGCACGAAAGCGUGGGGAGCAAACAGGAUUAGAUACCCUGGUAGUCC
RNAcentral lists this ribosomal RNA (229 nucleotides) under uncultured bacterium. RNAcentral's name for it is "partial 16S ribosomal RNA". It matches the Rfam family "Bacterial small subunit ribosomal RNA", at positions 568 to 796 of the family's 1533-position model. The record is from RNAcentral.